RNAcentral lists this ribosomal RNA (468 nucleotides) under Xenosporium sp. V1-1. RNAcentral describes it as "partial 28S ribosomal RNA". It matches the Rfam family "Eukaryotic large subunit ribosomal RNA", at positions 144 to 628 of the family's 3401-position model. Lineage: Eukaryota; Fungi; Ascomycota; Dothideomycetes; Tubeufiales; Tubeufiaceae. RNAcentral also lists the same sequence under 1 other name. The record is from RNAcentral.
UGUAAUUUGUAGAGGAUGCUUCGGCUUACGUCUCGGUCUAAGUUCCUUGGAACAGGACGUCACAGAGGGUGAGAAUCCCGUUUGUGGCCGCGACUUCUGCCAUGUGAAGCUCCUUCGACGAGUCGAGUUGUUUGGGAAUGCAGCUCUAAAUGGGAGGUAUAUUUCUUCUAAAGCUAAAUAUUGGCCAGAGACCGAUAGCGCACAAGUAGAGUGAUCGAAAGAUGAAAAGCACUUUGGAAAGAGAGUUAAAAAGUACGUGAAAUUGUUGAAAGGGAAGCGUUUGCGACCAGACUUGCCUGCGGAUGCUCAACCGGUCCUUCGGCCGGUGCACUCUUCCGCAGUCAGGCCAGCAUCAGUUCGAGUAGCCAGAUAAAGGCUUUGGGAAUGUGGCUCUCUUCGGGGAGUGUUAUAGCCCUUUGUACAAUAUGGUUCACUUGGACUGAGGCCCGCGCUUCGGCUAGGAUGCUG